Molecule: ribosomal RNA, 427 nt
Filed under: uncultured fungus
Lineage: Eukaryota; Fungi
Description: eukaryotic LSU rRNA
Rfam family: 5.8S ribosomal RNA (bases 45-199)
Source: RNAcentral
GGAAAUCAAUAUCUUCNCCUUAAAAAGCGUCGGUAAACUUAUACAACUUUCAACAACGGAUCUCUUGGCUCUCGCAUCNAUGAAAAACGCAGCGAAAUGCGAUAAGUAAUGUGAAUUGCAGAUUUUCAGUGAAUCAUCGAAUCUUUGAACGCACCUUGCGCUCCUUGGUAUUCCGAGGAGCAUGCCUGUUUGAGUGUCAUUAAAUACCUCAACCCCGAUGGAUUUGUUUCCUUCGGGGCUUGGACUUGNAGCGUGCUGGCGCGAGUCGGCUCCUCUCAAAUGCAUCAGCGGAAAUCAAUCUUUGGCUUUCGGACUUCAGUGUGAUAACCAUGUUGCGCUGUGGCACGAGCCUUAAGGUCCGCUUACAAUGGUCUUUGGACGAUUUCAUCAAAUUUGACCUCAAAUCAGGUAGGACUACCCGCUGAAC